GCAUAUACAUAUUUUUAAUGAAAAAACUAAACCAGAUGGGUUUCCAAUAUGAAUGUGUUCCUGUUACUUUUUGCUGUCUACAAUUAGCCAACAAAUCUCCGGGUCUUAUGAAAGGAAGCACUUCUAAAUCCGUGGAUCAGACAGUGGUCGAUUCAUAGUGGCCCCAGCUCUAUCUCAUAUGACCCCGCUAUUCGCAAGGCACCAGCAAGUUAACUAGAGCAUAUUCUUCUCAUCAGGAUAGUGGAAGGCAAGAGGACAUGCCUAAAAAGACAAGCACAUUCCAAAUUUCUGCUUGCCUGAGAGCUCUCACUCAUCAAAGCAGGUCAUGGCUCACAUCAGCAUCAGUGGCACAGAAAAAUAUACUCCUCCCUUCGAAGUUGGGGGGGUUGGGAGUGUAGCGAAGAAAUGAACCUUUGCUGAAUAAUAAUCUACUACUUCUUGAAUAAAAACAAAUAUAAGGUG
Long non-coding RNA from Suricata suricatta (meerkat), 462 nucleotides. RefSeq lists it as uncharacterized. The transcript has 2 exons. The record is from RefSeq and is a predicted model, not a curated record. Lineage: Eukaryota; Metazoa; Chordata; Mammalia; Carnivora; Herpestidae.